GAAGAAAUCAACAAAAAUUGAUUGAAUACAGCUGUGGUGUUACAGCAAACGGGGGGGGGGGGGGCAACAAACCGAGGUCCAAGAUGCUUUUCGCCGUUGGCAAUCGGGGGGGGGGGGUACCUCUA
Molecule: non-coding RNA, 125 nt
Organism: Caenorhabditis elegans
Lineage: Eukaryota; Metazoa; Nematoda; Chromadorea; Rhabditida; Rhabditidae
Source: Ensembl